Molecule: non-coding RNA, 26 nt
Filed under: Rattus norvegicus (Norway rat)
Lineage: Eukaryota; Metazoa; Chordata; Mammalia; Rodentia; Muridae
Source: RNAcentral
UGGUCUUUACAGAGGAUGUGUAGUCU